Molecule: ribosomal RNA, 910 nt
Filed under: uncultured bacterium
Lineage: Bacteria
Description: bacterial SSU rRNA
Rfam family: Bacterial small subunit ribosomal RNA
Source: RNAcentral
ACGCUGGCGGCGUGCCUAAUACAUGCAAGUAGAACGCUGAAGAGAGGAGCUUGCUCUUCUUGGAUGAGUUGCGAACGGGUGAGUAACGCGUAGGGAACCUGCCUUGUAGCGGGGGAUAACUAUUGGAAACGAUAGCUAAUACCGCAUAACAAUGGAUGACCCAUGUCAUUUAUUUGAAAGGGGCAAAUGCUCCACUACAAGAUGGACCUGCGUUGUAUUAGCUAGUAGGUGAGGUAACGGCUCACCUAGGCGACGAUACAUAGCCGACCUGAGAGGGUGAUCGGCCACACUGGGACUGAGACACGGCCCAGACUCCUACGGGAGGCAGCAGUAGGGAAUCUUCGGCAAUGGGGGCAACCCUGACCGAGCAACGCCGCGUGAGUGAAGAAGGUUUUCGGAUCGUAAAGCUCUGUUGUAAGUCAAGAACGAGUGUGAGAGUGGAAAGUUCACACUGUGACGGUAGCUUACCAGAAAGGGACGGCUAACUACGUGCCAGCAGCCGCGGUAAUACGUAGGUCCCGAGCGUUGUCCGGAUUUAUUGGGCGUAAAGCGAGCGCAGGCGGUUUGAUAAGUCUGAAGUUAAAGGCUGUGGCUCAACCAUAGUUCGCUUUGGAAACUGUCAAACUUGAGUGCAGAAGGGGAGAGUGGAAUUCCAUGUGUAGCGGUGAAAUGCGUAGAUAUAUGGAGGAACACCGGUGGCGAAAGCGGCUCUCUGGUCUGUAACUGACGCUGAGGCUCGAAAGCGUGGGGAGCGAACAGGAUUAGAUACCCUGGUAGUCCACGCCGUAAACGAUGAGUGCUAGGUGUUGGAUCCUUUCCGGGAUUCAGUGCCGCAGCUAACGCAUUAAGCACUCCGCCUGGGGAGUACGACCGCAAGGUUGAAACUCAAAGGAAUUGACGGGGGCCCGCA